GACGAACGCUGGCGGCGUGCUUAACACAUGCAAGUCGAACGGAGAACCUCUGCGGUGGGGAUCAGUGCGGAACGGGCGAGUAACACGUGGGCAACCGGCCCCCGGCCCUGUGAUAACGCCAAGAAAUUGGGGCUAAGACCAGAAGUUCACAGCAUCUCGCGAGGGGGGUGGUGAAAAGGGUUUCCGGCUGGGGGUGGGCCCGCGGCCAAGCAGCUGGUUGGGGGGGGCGGGGCGUACCAAGGCGAGGACGGGUAGGCGGCCUGGGAGGGGGACCGUCCACCAGGGGACUGCGGCACGCCCCAGUCUCCUACGGGAGGCAGCGGUGGGGAAUAUUGCGCAAUGGGCCGAAGCCUGACGCAGCGACGCCGCGUGCGGGAUGACGGCCUUCGGGUUGUAAACCUCUUUCAGCGGGGACGAAGCGGAAGUGACGGUACCUGCAGAAGAAGCACCGGCCAACUACGUG
Molecule: ribosomal RNA, 463 nt
Filed under: uncultured bacterium
Lineage: Bacteria
Description: partial 16S ribosomal RNA
Rfam family: Bacterial small subunit ribosomal RNA
Source: RNAcentral